CGCGGCCUAUCAGCUUGUUGGUGGGGUAACGGCCUACCAAGGCAUCGACGGGUAGCCGGCCUGAGAGGGUGUCCGGCCACACUGGGACUGAGAUACGGCCCAGACUCCUACGGGAGGCAGCAGUGGGGAAUAUUGCACAAUGGGCGCAAGCCUGAUGCAGCGACGCCGCGUGAGGGAUGACGGCCUUCGGGUUGUAAACCUCUUUCAGUACAGACGAAGCGUAAGUGACGGUAUGUACAGAAGAAGCACCGGCCAACUACGUGCCAGCAGCCGCGGUAAUACGUAGGGUGCGAGCGUUGUCCGGAAUUACUGGGCGUAAAGAGCUCGUAGGUGGUUUGUCGCGUUGUUCGUGAAAACCUGAGGCUUAACCUUGGGCGUGCGGGCGAUACGGGCAGACUGGAGUACUGCAGGGGAGACUGGAAUUCCUGGUGUAGCGGUGGAAUGCGCAGAUAUCAGGAGGAACACCGGUGGCGAAGGCGGGUCUCUGGGCAGUAACUGACGCUGAGGAGCGAAAGCGUGGGGAGCGAACAGGAUUAGAUACCCUGGUAGUCCACGCCGUAAACGGUGGGUACUAGGUGUGGGUUUCCUUCCUUGGGAUCCGUGCCGUAGCUAACGCAUUAAGUACCCCGCCUGGGGAGUACGG
RNAcentral lists this ribosomal RNA (643 nucleotides) under uncultured bacterium. RNAcentral describes it as "bacterial SSU rRNA". It matches the Rfam family "Bacterial small subunit ribosomal RNA", at positions 232 to 885 of the family's 1533-position model. The record is from RNAcentral.